ACAGGGAGGGGACUUUUGCUUGAUCCUUCCUUGUUCGGAGUAAUUCAAGACUUGGCUUGUUCCUUCAUUUGUUUUUCUUUUUUCCUGUUUUUCCCUCACAAACGCUUUCUUCCAUGCUCUCUUCACGCUGGAUUCUCACAAGGUGCUGACUACCACUUUCACCUGGGAAGUGCCCUGAUAUAUCCACCCUGUACUUUGAGCGCCGGUUUGGCUUCAGCUUUGCUGUCUUGUUGAGUUAUGCUGGUGCCAUAACUCAGACGAGGAGAUAUUCAGGGACUGAAUACACUGCAGCUUUUAGGAAAGCGUGACAUGCCUAGCCUCACCGCCAAACUUCAGCAACUGAUGGACUGCGGUGCUCAACGUUGCAAUGGCCGUGGCGAGUGUGUGACAGUGGAUGGCUUGCCAGCAUGUGAAUGCAUGCUGGGCUACAGGGGGGACACCUGCAGGGAGACGGUGAACGGCGGGCUGUCUGUUCCGCUCACACUGGGGGUCCUGGGGGUCCUCGCUGGCUUGAUUAUUGUGGCUUUCCUCUUUGCGUAUUUUCGACAGAAGAGAAAAGCACAAAUAAGGGAGGAGGCAGCUGUUGCAAAGGAGGCCCUGAAAAGAAAUGGAGACUUUCAUUCCCUUCAACAGUGAAACAGGAAAUAAGAGCCCAACAGUAUAAAACAUCCACCUCAACAAAACAGAUCAUCUGCUGCAUCAUUUCGCUCAUCGCACUUGCUUGGAAAUGUGUCUCGUUUGGUGACCUACAGCAAAACACCACGCACUUAUUAUUUAAGGAAAGGGAAGGGACCACAUUAUACAUCUUUAUGCAUGAACGUUACACGCACUGGCUCAAUGUUUAGUGCUCAAAGGCAAAAUUAACAUUAUAUGGAUGACAAUAGUAGAUAAUUCACUCACAUCCUCAGAUCCAUUCACUCUGGGAAGGGGUCCAAAGCACAGCCCACGUUGCGUGCAAUUACUCAUUUCCACCAGAGAGGUCUCCAAAUCACAAAAUAUUACAUACUGUAGCUUUAAGUUUUAGGAUUUCAUUCUAUCUCUGAAGCUAAUCUAUCCCCCCAUUUUGUUACAGCUGAAAUGAUUUGUGAUUAAAGAUGAUGAAAGACUAAUUUACUCUCUUUAUAAUAAAACCUGCAGUUUGUCAGUAUAAGUACUGGCAGCAUCCACAAUAAAAAAUGAGAAAAGCAUAUAGACAUUAUUUAUCAUGAUAUGUCAUCAUAUUGCCCAUCCCUAUUUUGGAGGUUUGUUCAGGUACACUAAUCAAAACUCAUACUUGCAAAACUUGCAGCUGAAAGUGGUACAACCAAAUUCUUAAAAAAAGAUACUGCUUGCGAAUUCAAUAGCAGAGUCAUUUUAAAGAUGUCUUGUUGCUAGGUGCUGCUUCACUGAUACUGAUGUGGCAGUGAGGGAGACAAAUGCUUGUGACGAGUGUGGAGUGACUAGUCUCUUUAAAAUGCCAAGCAUUUCAGUGCUUUGUCCUUACACAGCUUCAAACCUGACUGGUCGGUUCAAAAGACGUCUACAGAGUACAAAGGCCACCCUUCAUUUCUUUAAUUUCAAGUUUAACUGGUCAAGUUAUUUAAAGAGAAAUGUAGCAGAAAACAUAUUUAACAAAAAAGAUACAGAAGGUUCAACAAAUAAAUAUUACUUUGUAUGUUCAA
Pygocentrus nattereri (red-bellied piranha) is the source of this 1661-nucleotide long non-coding RNA. RefSeq lists it as uncharacterized. The transcript is spliced from 5 exons. The record is from RefSeq and is a predicted model, not a curated record. Lineage: Eukaryota; Metazoa; Chordata; Actinopteri; Characiformes; Serrasalmidae.